Non-coding RNA from Oryza glumipatula, 197 nucleotides. Lineage: Eukaryota; Viridiplantae; Streptophyta; Magnoliopsida; Poales; Poaceae. The record is from Rfam.
AAAAAGGCAAAACGUGAGUUCUCGUGCCAACGUUUAACUGUCCGUCCUAUAUGAAAUUUUUUAUAAUUAGUAUUUUUUUAUAUGAUAAAACAUGAUUAAUAUUUUAUGCGUGACUUAUCUUUUUAAUUUUUUCAUAACUUUUUCAAAUAAGACGAACGGUCAAACGUUGGACACGAAAACCAGUGUUUGUCUUUUUU